Molecule: ribosomal RNA, 401 nt
Filed under: uncultured bacterium
Lineage: Bacteria
Description: bacterial SSU rRNA
Rfam family: Bacterial small subunit ribosomal RNA
Source: RNAcentral
GAAUAUUGCUCAAUGGGCGCAAGCCUGAAGCAGCGACGCCGCGUGGGUGAAGAAGGUCUUCGGAUCGUAAAGCCCUUUUCUGCGUGACGAGAGAGGACGGUAGCGCAGGAAUAAGUCUCGGCUAACUACGUGCCAGCAGCCGCGGUAAAACGUAGGAGACAAGCGUUAUCCGGAGUUACUGGGCGUAAGGGGCGUGCAGGCGGUUUGUUAAGUUCGUUGUGAAAGUUCCCGGCUAAACCGGGGAAGGUCGACGGAUACUGGCAGACUAGAGGACAGUAGAGGCGUGUGGAAUUCCGGGUGUAGUGGUGAAAUGCGUAGAUAUCCGGAGGAACACCAGUGGCGAAGGCGGCACGCUGGGCUGUACCUGACGCUAAGACGCGACAGCAUGGGUAGCGAACGGG